UUAGGGCAGAUUAUAGCUUGAGGUCAAAAUGAACAAAAUUUCUGUGAACAUGCUGGGCAUUCAUUCUAAUGUACAUAUGAAAAAUGGAGCUGAGCCUGUUGAUUGGCAUUCCCUUUGUCUGGGAAUUGGACAAGAACUUGAAAGCUAUCAAACCCAUGCAGUUCCUGGUGAGUGAAGAGAUCAUGUCUAUAGCUGUGGAAGCUGUGGCUCCCCAGGGCAAGGCUAAGAAGUGCAGAUUUUCUCAUGGCAGUGUUUCUCCUUCAUUCUUGUGAAUUCAGGAGGAUGGCAUAAACAUCUUAAAAAUGAAAGCCUGACAGGUUUCUCCGGAAAUGUGGCCAUCCAUGGAAUGAAUGAAAUGUUCUCUUUCUAUCCCAACUACCAAUGGCAUUUUUCCUUAGCCUCAAGAGACCAUCGUAAAACAAUGGCUCACAGUGUUUUCAGAACAGGAACUGAAGUUGUGUACUGUGCAUGUAUAGUCCUACGCAAGAGGAAGGCAAUGUUUAAAGCUGCUGUCGCCUCCUGGAAAAAAAAAAAAGAAAAAAGCUGGGAUUCUGAGUCGAAUGCAACUUAGAAUGAUAAGGUUCCUGGUCUGUGGGAUUCCGGCUGGUUUGCCUCAUGCUGACUCCUGUCAUCUGGUUUCAAAACCCUCAGAGAACCUCAUUUCCUGUUUGCCACUGGUUCUGGAGGAGGUUUGCCAAGAGCUUUUGGCUGGGAAGGACGGUGGAGUUCAUCACAGGCAGUGAGCUGGAACCACACUUGUGACUCUCCAACCUGGUUCCCCACCUUGAAAAUGUCAAGAUCCACACUGCCUUAUCAAAAGGCCUGGGCUUUGGCAAAGUGUGAUUGUAUCCCGUGGCCAGGAUCAUGUCAACCAGUGUCUUUUACCUUGCCUGGCAGUGGGGGUUUGGGGCACAAAUCAAGAAAGGAAAUGAUUCUUGAAUUAUAAUUUGUUUUUCUAAAAAUUAAGAUUAAUUAACAAGUAUUUGCUUUUAUGUCCAUUCUGUUCAAAGAACUUAAUGGCGAUUACAACACAGCAAAAAUAGGUCACAGCAAAAUGAACAUGCAAGAUUAGGUUAAAACAUUCCUCUGAAAUUUCUGUAUUCAUUUUUGGAAUGUCAGUUACUACAUUUCUGUAAUUUAUCAUUUUUUUUUUCUGGCUUAGAAUCAAGGUGAGAAAUGAUAUUGAGACCAAAGACAUUGUUUUGUUAUAAAGUCACAGCUUCUUAAAAUGCAAAUCAGCCCUGUCAGCCCACGCAUA
Long non-coding RNA from Ochotona princeps (American pika), 1258 nucleotides. RefSeq lists it as uncharacterized. The transcript has 5 exons. The record is from RefSeq and is a predicted model, not a curated record. NCBI's taxonomy places the organism in Eukaryota, Metazoa, Chordata, Mammalia, Lagomorpha, Ochotonidae.